CGACGAUUACAUGAAGGCCAGGUUGAUGACCUUGCCUGAUUUUUCGAGAGGUGGUGCAUGGCCGCCGUCAGUUCGUACCGUAAGGCGUUCUGUUAAGUCAGAUAACGAACGAGACCCUCAUUGCCAUUUGCUAGGGUCUUCUCAGGAAGGGGUUGCACUAUGGCGAUACCGCCACUGCUGAAGUGGAGGAAGGAGGGGGCAACGGUAGGUCAGUAUGCCCCGAAUCUCCCGGGCUACACGCGCGCUACAAAGGGCAGGACAAUGGGCUUCGACGCCGAAAGGCGGAGGCAAUCCCGAAACCUGCUCGUACUUCGGAUUGAGUGCUGCAAUUCGCCCUCAUGAAGCUGGAAUCCGUAGUAAUCGCGGGUCAACAUCCCGCGGUGAAUAUGCCCCUGCUCCUUGCACACACCGCCCGUCAAACCACCUUAGUUGGGUCUGGACGAGGGCUCGCCUUUUGGCGCGCUCGAAUCUGGGUUCAGCGAGGAGGGUUAAGUCGUAACAAGGUA
This 506-nucleotide ribosomal RNA is filed under the name uncultured archaeon. RNAcentral describes it as "bacterial SSU rRNA". It matches the Rfam family "Archaeal small subunit ribosomal RNA", at positions 937 to 1445 of the family's 1478-position model. The record is from RNAcentral.